RNAcentral lists this transfer RNA (75 nucleotides) under Bacteroides sp. RNAcentral describes it as "tRNA-Met". It matches the Rfam family "tRNA". From Rfam's summary of the family: Transfer RNA (tRNA) molecules are approximately 80 nucleotides in length. Their secondary structure includes four short double-helical elements and three loops (D, anti-codon, and T loops). Lineage: Bacteria; Pseudomonadati; Bacteroidota; Bacteroidia; Bacteroidales; Bacteroidaceae. The record is from RNAcentral. RNAcentral also lists the same sequence under 3 other names.
CGCGGAGUAGAGCAGUGGUAGCUCGUCGGGCUCAUAACCCGGAGGUCGUUGGUUCGAGUCCAGCCUCCGCCACCA